GGGGAAUAUUGCACAAUGGGGGAAACCCUGAUGCAGCGACGCCGCGUGAGUGAAGAAGUAUUUCGGUAUGUAAAGCUCUAUCAGCAGGGAAGAAAAUGACGGUACCUGACUAAGAAGCCCCGGCUAACUACGUGCCAGCAGCCGCGGUAAUACGUAGGGGGCAAGCGUUAUCCGGAUUUACUGGGUGUAAAGGGAGCGUAGACGGUUAAGCAAGUCAGAAGUGAAAGGCUGGGGCUCAACCCCGGGACUGCUUUUGAAACUGUUUAACUAGAGUGCUGGAGAGGUAAGCGGAAUUCCUAGUGUAGCGGUGAAAUGCGUAGAUAUUAGGAGGAACACCAGUGGCGAAGGCGGCUUACUGGACAGUAACUGACGUUGAGGCUCGAAAGCGUGGGGAGCAAAC
RNAcentral lists this ribosomal RNA (400 nucleotides) under uncultured bacterium. Its description in RNAcentral is "bacterial SSU rRNA". It matches the Rfam family "Bacterial small subunit ribosomal RNA", at positions 356 to 773 of the family's 1533-position model. The record is from RNAcentral.